GUGGCUGGACGUAUAGUCGGGAAACCCUUCAGGAACCUUUACCAUUCGGUAAGGGGAGUUCUUCGGAACUCUAAGUCA
This is a regulatory RNA element of Legionella waltersii, 78 nucleotides long. It matches the Rfam family "RAGATH-32 RNA". From Rfam's summary of the family: Legionellales (_-Proteobacteria). Nearby to self-cleaving ribozyme genes The record is from Rfam. NCBI's taxonomy places the organism in Bacteria, Pseudomonadati, Pseudomonadota, Gammaproteobacteria, Legionellales, Legionellaceae.